This is an RNA transcript of Solanum verrucosum, 1055 nucleotides long. It is a transcript of the gene named putative disease resistance RPP13-like protein 1, with no coding region annotated. The transcript is spliced from 2 exons. Lineage: Eukaryota; Viridiplantae; Streptophyta; Magnoliopsida; Solanales; Solanaceae. The record is from RefSeq and is a predicted model, not a curated record.
AUGGAUAUUGGCUUGGCAGUUGGUGGUGCAUUUCUCUCUUCAGCUUUGAAUGUUCUCUUUGAUAGGCUUUCUCCUCAGGGUGAGCUUCUCAAGAUGUUUCAGAAGCAUACGCAUCAUGUUCGUCUCUUAAAAAAGCUUAAAAUGACUUUGUGUGGUCUUCAGAUUGUGCUAAGUGAUGCAGAGGAUAAGCAAGCAUCAAAUCCAUUUGUGAGCGACUGGCUUAAUUAGCUUCGAGAUGCUGUGGACUCUGCUGAGAACUUAAUUGAAGAAGUCAAUUGUGAAGCUUUGAGGCUUAAGGUGGAAGGCCAGCAUCAAAAUCUUGCAGAAACAAGCAACCAGCAAGUAAGUCACCUCAGCUUGUCCUUGAGUGAUGAAUUUUUUCUUAACAUAAAGGAUAAGUUGGAAGAAAAUAUUGAAACAUUGGAGGAGUUACAAAAGCAAAUUGGUUGUCUUGACCUGAAAUUGUGUCUUGAUUCGGGUAAACAAGAAACUAGAAGACCUUCAACUUCUGUGGUUGAUGAAUCUGAUAUCUUUGGUAGGCAGAGUGAAACAGAGGAAUUGGUGGGCCGUUUAUUAUCUGUUGAUGGAAAUGGUAGAAGUUUAACUGUAAUCCCUGUUGUUGGAAUGGGGGGCGUGGGCAAGACAACACUUGCUAAAGCUGUUUACAAUGAUGAGAAGGUGAACGACCAUUUUGAUUUGAAAGCUUGGUUUUGUGUGUCUGAACAAUAUGAUGCUUUCAGAAUAGCAAAAGGAUUGCUUCAAGAGAUUGGCUUACAGGUUGAUGAUAAUAUAAAUCAGAUUCAGAUCAAAUUGAAGGAGAGCUUAAAAGAUCUCGGAAGUAAGAUCAUUGUGACAACACGUAAGGAGAGUGUGCCUUGAUGAUGGGUGGUGGGGCAAUGAAUGUGGGGAUUCUGUCUAAUGAAGUCUCUUGGGCUUUAUUCAAACGACAUUCAUUAGAAAACAGGGAUCCUGAGGAACAUCUAGAACUUGAAGAGAUUGGAAAGAAAAUUGCAGAGAAAUGCAAAGGAUUGCCUUUAGCUAUAAAGACCCUUGCU